This 253-nucleotide ribosomal RNA is filed under the name uncultured bacterium. RNAcentral's name for it is "partial 16S ribosomal RNA". It matches the Rfam family "Bacterial small subunit ribosomal RNA", at positions 524 to 776 of the family's 1533-position model. The record is from RNAcentral.
GCCGGAGGGUGCGAGCGCUAUUCGGAAUCAUUGGGCGUAAAGAGCGUGUAGGCGGCCGGUUAAGUCAGGUGUGAAAGCCCGGGGCUCAACCUCGGAAGUGCACUUGAAACUGGUCGGCUUGAGGUCGGGAGAGGGAAGCGGAAUUCCUGGUGUAGAGGUGAAAUUCGUAGAUAUCAGGAGGAACACCGGUGGCGAAGGCGGCUUCCUGGACCGAAACUGACGCUGAGACGCGAAAGCGUGGGGAGCAAACAGG